Long non-coding RNA from Gavialis gangeticus (Gharial), 129 nucleotides. RefSeq lists it as uncharacterized. The record is from RefSeq and is a predicted model, not a curated record. NCBI's taxonomy places the organism in Eukaryota, Metazoa, Chordata, Crocodylia, Gavialidae. The transcript has 3 exons.
CUGGCUAGAUGGCAGCACUAUGAAGAAAGAUCUGCAAGUCUUGGUAGAUCACAGACUCAGUACAAGUCUGCAGUGUAAUGCAGCUGCACUAAAGGCAAAUGCAGUUUUGGGAUGCACUGACAGGAGCAU